This is a long non-coding RNA of Mauremys reevesii (Reeves's turtle), 1009 nucleotides long. RefSeq lists it as uncharacterized. NCBI's taxonomy places the organism in Eukaryota, Metazoa, Chordata, Testudines, Geoemydidae. The transcript is spliced from 3 exons. The record is from RefSeq and is a predicted model, not a curated record.
GUUCCAGCUGGCUGAGGAUAUGAGCAUCUUUAUCACCAAGUUACAGCCAGCAGUGGGGAAUGCUGGUGAGAAAGGAAAGGAAGAGGGGAGUUCAUUCAAAAUGGGGAGGAACAAGACAGGGAACUGAGAUACAGACUGAUGGGGUGACUUGCCCAGAAUCAAACCAGAAGUCCGUGACAGAGUUGGGAAUUUCAACCAGUUCUCCUCAGUCCCUGCAGGAAUAUAUGGCUGAUGUAUCCUACUUUUUCUGUGAUGUUAAGGCAUGAAAUGGGAAGUGAAUAUGAAUGGAAGCAAGAGAAUUGAUGGGCCUGGAUAUAAUCAGGGAAACAAAGGUGGACAUUGGAGGCUCGCUUUGCCUAUAGAAAAACUGAUCACACAGCAAGCAGCUUUAAUUUAUGUAAAUUGUAUUCAGACAUAUAGUCCCAUACUACCAGCAACAGUAUUACUGCAUUCCCAUCUACAUCUAGCUAGCUCAUCUAUCUGUCUACAUGGUAAUAUGACUCUCAUCACCAUGGUAUCUGAUUUAUGGGGCCAAAUUAAUCCCUUGCUUAACUCCAUCUCUAUAAUUCCAAUUUGUUGAGUUAGAUGUGGAGCUAAGUGAAUAUGUAGCCAAACUGAAAAAUCAGACAAAAUUUUCAUUUUGGGUCCACUCAAAAUAGUAUUUUUUGUUUGUUUUCUCAUCAAAAUAGCAAUGAAAUUUUAUGUCAGGUCAAAUGAAAUAUUUAGUUAUUCCAAAAACUAUUUUUGCCAGGGUUUUUUUGUUUCAUUCUUAGGUGUUUUUUAAUCUGUUUGAAAUAAAUCUUGAUAAAUUGCAAAACAAAACGUCAUUUUGAAAAGAGAAGUUGACAUACUGAAAUGUUUCUUUUGCUAUUUCCGUAUACAUAGAGGCCUAAAUGGUAUUUUCCAGUGAAUAAACCUUGUGUCCAAAAAUUUUUGCCCGACUCUAGUUAGGUGCAGAAAUCAAUGGGUAAAAAUCUCUGGGCUGUGUUAUUCUGGAGGGCCGACUGGA